Molecule: ribosomal RNA, 444 nt
Filed under: Triticum aestivum (bread wheat)
Lineage: Eukaryota; Viridiplantae; Streptophyta; Magnoliopsida; Poales; Poaceae
Description: partial small subunit ribosomal RNA
Source: RNAcentral
AUGCUGUCCGGCCUCUCCACCGCCGGCACCACGCCCUCGUGCUACAUCCAGCAAAGCUGCCGCCCCCUCCCUAGCCCGACCUCCCCCAUCUCCACCACGAAGGGACAAACAGCGGCAGCGGCGAGUUGGAUCGGGGCAGCGUGCUGCUGGGCAACGGCUGAGUAUAUAAUCUAUGACAGGACUUGCCGCUUAAGCAAUGUGAUUAUGGGAAAUUGGGGACAGAAGCAACAAGUGUGUGAACUCAAACUUCUGUGUGAGCUCAUACUGGUUGCCUGGCAAAAAGCCCAGGAAGAUAGCCCGGCAAAUGUUCGUGCUUCAGAAUUUUCGGAAGUUCUUCUACUUCUAUCACAUCAGCAGAGCUUGAUCCUCAUGCCUUGCACACGUGUUCUUUUAAUAAUGUUGCUGUUGGAUUCUGUAGGAAAGACAAAGAGGACCAAGAAGUAG